RNAcentral lists this ribosomal RNA (484 nucleotides) under uncultured bacterium. Its description in RNAcentral is "bacterial SSU rRNA". It matches the Rfam family "Bacterial small subunit ribosomal RNA", at positions 27 to 507 of the family's 1533-position model. The record is from RNAcentral.
GGAUGAACGCUGGCGGCGUGCUUAACACAUGCAAGUCGAACGAAGCACUUACCAAGGAUUUCUUCGGAAUGACUAAUAAGUGACUGAGUGGCGGACGGGUGAGUAACGCGUGGGUAACCUACCUCAUACAGGGGGAUAACAGUUAGAAAUGACUGCUAAUACCGCAUAAUGCAGCGAGAUCGCAUGUUCUUGCUGUCAAAGAUUUAUCGCUCCGAGAUGAGCUCGCGGCCGAUUAGGUAGUUGGUGAGGUAAUGGCUCACCAAGCCGACGAUCGGUAGCCGGACUGAGAGGUUGAUCGGCCACAUUGGGACUGAGAUACGGCCCAGACUCCUACGGGAGGCAGCAGUGGGGAAUAUUGGGCAAUGGGGGAAACCCUGACCCAGCAACGCCGCGUGAAGGAAGAAGGCCUUCGGGUUGUAAACUUCUUUUACCAGGGACGAAGAACGUGACGGUACCUGGAGAAAAAGCAACGGCUAACUACGUG